CAGCAGUCGCCGCGGUAAUACGGAGGGUGCAAGCGUUAAUCGGAAUUACUGGGCGUAAAGCGCACGCAGGCGGUCUGACAAGUCAGAUGUGAAAUCCCCGGGCUUAACCUGGGAACUGCAUUUGAAACUGUCAGGCUGGAGUCUUGUAGAGGGGGGUGGAAUUCCAGGUGUAGCGGUGAAAUGCGUAGAGAUCUGGAGGAAUACCGGUGGCGAAGGCGGCCCCCUGGACAAAGACUGACGCUCAGGUGCGAAAGCGUGGGGAGCAAACAGGAUUAGAUACCCCGGUAGUCCCUGUCUCUUAUAC
Molecule: ribosomal RNA, 304 nt
Filed under: uncultured bacterium
Lineage: Bacteria
Description: partial 16S ribosomal RNA
Rfam family: Bacterial small subunit ribosomal RNA
Source: RNAcentral